UAUAUUUUAGUAUAUAAUGUACGAAAAUUUUUGAAGUUUUCAGAAGUAGUCAAACUCUACUAAAUAUAU
This 69-nucleotide transfer RNA is filed under the name Ceutorhynchus albosuturalis. RNAcentral's name for it is "tRNA-Gln". The record is from RNAcentral. Lineage: Eukaryota; Metazoa; Arthropoda; Insecta; Coleoptera; Curculionidae.